CCUACGGGGGGCUGCAGUGGGGAAUAUUGCGCAAUGGGGGAAACCCUGACGCAGCAACGCCGCGUGGGUGAUGAAGGUUUUCGGAUCGUAAAACCCUGUUUUCUGGGACGAUAAUGACGGUACCAGAUGAGGAAGCCACGGCUAACUACGUGCCAGCAGCCGCGGUAAUACGUAGGUGGCAAGCGUUGUCCGGAUUUACUGGGCGUAAAGGGUGCGUAGGCGGAUGCUUAAGUGAGAUGUGAAAUACCUAGGCUUAACUUAGGGGCUGCAUUUCAAACUGGGCAUCUAGAGUACAGGAGAGGGAAACGGAAUUCCUAGUGUAGCGGUGAAAUGCGUAGAGAUUAGGAAGAACACCAGUGGCGAAGGCGGUUUCCUGGACUGUAACUGACGCUGAGGCACGAAAGCGUGGGUAGCAAACAGGAUUAGAUACCCCAGUAGUC
This 440-nucleotide ribosomal RNA is filed under the name uncultured Clostridium sp. Its description in RNAcentral is "bacterial SSU rRNA". It matches the Rfam family "Bacterial small subunit ribosomal RNA", at positions 338 to 795 of the family's 1533-position model. The record is from RNAcentral. Lineage: Bacteria; Bacillati; Bacillota; Clostridia; Eubacteriales; Clostridiaceae.